Molecule: ribosomal RNA, 465 nt
Filed under: uncultured bacterium
Lineage: Bacteria
Description: partial 16S ribosomal RNA
Rfam family: Bacterial small subunit ribosomal RNA
Source: RNAcentral
GACGAACGCUGGCGGCGUGCUUAACACAUGCAAGUCGAACGGAAAGGCCCCUUUGGGGGUACUCAAGUGGCGAACGGGGGAGUAACACGUGAGUAACCUGCCCUUGACUUCGGGAUAACUUCAGGAAACUGGGGCUAAUACCGGAUAGGAAUCCUUGCUGCAUGGUGGGGGUUGGAAAGCUACGGCGGUUUUGGAUGGAUUCGCGGUCUAUCUGCUUGUUGGUGGGGUAGUGGCUUACCAUGGCUUUGACGGGUAGCCGGCCUGAGGGGGCGACCGGCCACGUGGGGGCUGGGGCACCGCCCGGUAUCCUUCGUGAGGCAGCAAGUUAGAAUGUUGCUCAAUGGCCGGAAGCCUGAUGCUGUUACGCCCCGUGCGGGAUGAAGGCCUUCGGAUUGUAAACCGCUUUCAGCAGGGGCGAGGCUUUUGGUGACGGUACCUUCAGAAGAAGCACCGGCUAACUACGUG